CACGUAGGCACCAAGCGUUGUCCGGAUUUAUUGGGCGUAAAGAGCUCGUAGGCGGUUCGGUAAGUCGGGUGUGAAAACUUUGGGCUCAACCCAAAGCGUGCACUCGAUACUGCCGUGACUUGAGUUCGGUAGGGGAGUGGGGAAUUCCUAGUGUAGCGGUGAAAUGCGCAGAUAUUAGGAGGAACACCGGUGGCGAAGGCGCCACUCUGGGCCGAAACUGACGCUGAGGAGCGAAAGCGUGGGUAGCAAACAGG
RNAcentral lists this ribosomal RNA (254 nucleotides) under uncultured bacterium. RNAcentral describes it as "partial 16S ribosomal RNA". It matches the Rfam family "Bacterial small subunit ribosomal RNA", at positions 524 to 776 of the family's 1533-position model. The record is from RNAcentral.